This 2914-nucleotide unclassified non-coding RNA is filed under the name Hevea brasiliensis (rubber tree). Lineage: Eukaryota; Viridiplantae; Streptophyta; Magnoliopsida; Malpighiales; Euphorbiaceae. The record is from RNAcentral.
AGAAACCUGGAUGAUUAAUCCAAUGGUCGAUGAUUUGAUGAACGCCGCCCAAACUUUGGUUGACACCAUCAGAUCACCUCUCUAGAGAGCAUACUAUUUGGAAAUUUUGGAGCAGUAUUUGGUUUUGACUGAGCUGGGCAAUGGCAUUUGGUCAUAGCUUAAGCUGGCAGACAGCAUUCAUUUCUUCGAAAACCCAAUUCAGAAAAGCUUCAAAUUCAAAGCUUUCUGUCUUAUCCUCUUCUGCUUUCGGAGUAACAAAAAGGGUCUCUUCCUCUGUUCGUGCUAUGGGUUCCUCUGCUUCUUCACAGAGACCAGAUAACAUUCAAGGUAGCUCUGUCUCUCUCUCUCCAUCUAGAUAAUGAUCUCUUGUGUCGCUGUUUGUUUAGAAAUUAUGUUUUCAAUGAGAAGUUUAACAAAAUUCUUUUUCAUAUUAGUUUGUCUUUUGUUAUGCAAUUUUCUUGGUUAUCAUGUUUGGCUUCACCUUAAUGUUUUGUUUAGGUGUUCCGUCUUGAUGAUUAGUUUCCCAAUUAGAUGCAUAAAUAUUUUAUAUUUUCAAUGCUUUAUCUAUUUUCCUUUUCAAUUGUUGAAAACCAUUAGGGUUUUUAUUUCAUGGGAUUGGCAUCAAUUAUCAGCAAGGAUGUUAUGAAAUUAUGGAAUUAAUUUUCUUUUCUUGCUCGCUGAUAUCUCUACUAUUGAACAAUUAUACGUAGGCACUAUGUCCAUGGGAGGGGGAUUUUCUAAAUGUGCUGAUCCUUGCUUUUCCACUGCUUUGCUCUUUGCUAGUUUGAGAAAGGUGAAAUUUUAGGUUUUCUACAUUAUGUUUUAACCACAAGAGUCCAGAACUUUCAGCCUGGUAGAGAAAGUAUUUGUAAGUGCACAUUUGCUGUGGUUUUUGUGAGACAAUUCUUGAACACAAAGGGACUCUGUAAAGUAUCAAUUAUCUGUAUCUGCUGUGUUGGUGACCAGAGAAAUGAAAUUGAUACUGUUUGGAUUUUUGACUUGAGUAAAAAUUCAGAAUCCUUAUAACCGUUUAAACUUGUAAACAUAUGUUGAUUCUGUUAGAUGGUGUGGAUCUUAUUAAUUUGGGUAAAUUUUAUCAUGUUCCUGAAUACUUUAGCAACGAAAGGAAAUUAGUCCUAAUGGUUUCAGUUGCCAAUCUUUAGCAUAGUUUAAGUAUCACUUAGUGUUUGCAUUUAUGGCUCACUGGAUUGUUCUUGCAUUGUUCUUAUUGACUGGAAUUCCUUUUGUUUGGACAACAAGUAUUCACGCUACUGAUAUUAGUAAUUUAGAGUUGUUUACUUUGUGUGUUCUCUAGUUGGCUCAAAAGAGGAAGCUAGCAUCUUGUGGAGAACUUCAUGAAUUUCUCAGUGAAAAUACUUAAAUUAAAAUUAACUACAUGCCUAAAACCAUUUUGGAUUCCUUGCAGCUAAUAUGCACAGAUGAUGGUAGGUCCAUUUUCUUGGGGUAGGGAAAGGGUGUAAUAUUAUCUAUUGAUUUAUCGUCCUUGAAGUUCUUGAUACCAUAGUGGAAUGAAGAAAAAAAAUCCACUUAUCUAUUUCUAUUAUCAUCAAUGUCAAAAUGGAUUUUGAUAAUUGCAUAGCCAUUGGCAAUUCUUGAUAAAAUUUCUUGAUCAACCUGUGUGAUUGUUUAGAUUUAGAAUAACAGAAGCCUUACUCAUUUUAACCAUUAAAACCCAUUUGCUUUCUCUUGUAGAGGCAGGAAAGGUUGAUUAUGCUUCUGUAAGUGAUGAUGAAUGGAAAAAGAGGCUUACAGUUGAGCAAUUUCACAUAACACGUCAAAAGGGAACCGAAAGGGCUUUCACUGGGUAUGAUUUUAUUAGAUGUAUUGUAGUUGUGUGCAAAUUUUUUACAGAAUUAUAAUUUAGGAGCUUCCAAGGCCUUCAAUAAUUUAGAGGCUGCCAGCUUCAAUAAUAUUGAUGUGAAGUUUAGAAGCAUGAGCAUUAUUAUAACUUGAAAUAUGCAGUGGAACAGGAACUAUCAGAAUUCUAACCAUUAAGAGGUCUGCUCAUUUCCACAACCAUAACAUAAAGAACCACUGAUGAUAUAUGCUGAAUUUUCGUUCAACAAUGCCCAGUUGAUUCAUUAUUCUUGAGGUGGUGUUUUUUCAUUUUCAGGGAAUACUGGAACACUAAAACCCCUGGAACUUACCACUGCAUAUGUUGUGAUACACCUCUAUUUGAGUACGUAAAUGGUUACAUGCAAGCCUGUGCCAAUGGAAUCAACUACUUUGAUGCUUAGUUGAAGUGACUCGUCUGUUCUCUCCUGCAGGUCAUCCACUAAAUUUGACAGCGGAACGGGUUGGCCAUCUUACUAUCAGCCAAUAGGAAGCAAUGUGAAAUCAAAGUUAGACUUGUCAAUUAUUUUCAUGCCUCGUCAAGAAGUUCUUUGUGCAGCUUGUGAUGCUCAUUUAGGCCAUGUCUUUGACGAUGGUCCGGCACCCACUGGAAAACGCUACUGUAUCAACAGUGCUUCCUUGAAGCUGAAACCUAAGUGAGAGACCUAUGGGCCAUGAAAGUGUCUGUCAAAGUUGAGAUAAGGUGAAGCACUUGUUUUCUUGUGUAUCUUGUGUACAUGUCAUGAUCCAUAUAUUCUUGUGUAAAGAUCAUGUCCACUUAGAUCUCAAUAAAUAAGUACAUGUCUUUACGUAGAUCGGUUCAUUAUGAAUUUAAAAUGCAAUAUGUACGAUGUGACUCACAAUAUUUGUAUUUUAAAUUCACAAUGAAUUAUAAAUAUAUUAAAUUUAAAUGGAUGUAUAUAUCAAAAAGAAAUUCUUUACAGCUUAUUUGGGAAGAAGUUUUUGAAUGUAAAUGAUGGGCUUAUAAAGUAUCAUACUUGUUUGGGGAGGAGGUAUUUUAAAGAAUAUAAGGAUUUCAGGGUUCAAAACUUUAAAAAAU